UACGGGGGGGGCAAGCGUUGUUCGGAAUUACUGGGCGUAAAGGGCGCGUAGGCGGCCUGCUGAGUCGGAUGUGAAAUCCCUCGGCUCAACCGGGGAACUGCAUCCGAUACUGGCGGGCUUGAAUCCGGGAGAGGGAUGUGGAAUUCCAGGUGUAGCGGUGAAAUGCGUAGAUAUCUGGAGGAACACCGGUGGCGAAGGCGGCAUCCUGGACCGGUAUUGACGCUGAGGCGCGAAAGCCAGGGGAGCAAACGGG
This 253-nucleotide ribosomal RNA is filed under the name uncultured bacterium. RNAcentral describes it as "partial 16S ribosomal RNA". It matches the Rfam family "Bacterial small subunit ribosomal RNA", at positions 524 to 776 of the family's 1533-position model. The record is from RNAcentral.